Long non-coding RNA from Saccostrea echinata, 390 nucleotides. RefSeq lists it as uncharacterized. The transcript has 2 exons. Lineage: Eukaryota; Metazoa; Mollusca; Bivalvia; Ostreida; Ostreidae. The record is from RefSeq and is a predicted model, not a curated record.
UUACGAACUAUGGCUGUGUUCAAAUGUGACAGUAUUAUUUCAAAAAUAAUCAUCAUAAUUUUAUCUGUAUUUUCGUGUCAAAACGUUACGUCUGUAUACACGUGUCAUACAUCAAAUACUCGGGUGACCAGAGUACGACAUCCUUUUGUAUGACAUUUUCUGGUCUCUACUUUCAUUUUUGGUGAGACCCGUGCACGUGUUGGAUCAGUUCCAAGAAAAAGAUGACAGAAGACGCGAGUAGUAGGUCAUAGAAAGGCCACUGAUCACUUCUGUGACUCUUUAACUUGGAAAAGAUCAAGAUUGAUCUCUUGACAGAAGAUAAAAUGACAUUUGUGUAGAAAGGGGUAUAUACAAUACAAUGUAUAUUUUUUAAAUAAAACUGAAAAUUUG